Molecule: RNA transcript, 805 nt
Organism: Zea mays
Lineage: Eukaryota; Viridiplantae; Streptophyta; Magnoliopsida; Poales; Poaceae
Exons: 2
Source: RefSeq, marked validated
GCGCCCCCAAAUUCCCGCCAGGAGCCGCGCCUGCAGGCUGCAGUGAACCGACAGCGCCCCCGCCCGCCGAGUAGUCGGCAUCAGCAUCCGCCGAGCCGCCAGCGAGAGAGGGACACACACAGGGGGAACAAGACGACCAUGUCCUCCUGGGACGACGACGACGACUCUGCUGCUGCGGCGGCGGCCACGGACGUCGAGCUGCUCAAGCGGGCGUGGCGCGACGAGAAGGCCGCGCCGGAGAUCCUCCGCUUCGACUUGCCCCUCGUUUCCCGCGUCCGAGAGCAGAUCCAGCUCCUCGUACGCUCUUCUCCCUACCCGUCUUUGCAGUGCCGGAGCCUGAGCUGGACACCUUCGUCUUCUGCAAGACCAAGAGCGACGUAGGCGCGUUCCAGCUAGAUGACAUAGGCGAGGAGGUCGUGGACUUGGUCGCUGAUGACCUCUACGUUCUUCGGUACAAGUCCAUCAAGGGACUCGUCGAGAGCAACCGGAUCGACCUUGUUUGGUGUCAGUGGCGGUGGCGCCGCGAGCCGUCAGGGUCUGCAGGACACAGCAUGCAAGCAUGGGAGAUGCGACGGCAAAGGCUUGUAAGUUGUAACAUGUCAUGAAUCUUUUGGUUCAGGAUUCUUUUCGAGUCGUGGAAAGUAAGGGAUCAAUGGAAGAAAAAUACUAAGCACCGUCGCAGAGGUAAACCUCAGUUGAAAGCCGAUGUCUAUGUGCCAUUCGCAUAUGGCUUAGGCUUUCCAUGUAUCUCAUAACUUGUGUUAGAGAAUUUGGGCCUGGCCCAAUAAUAAAUCUUGUAAAUUCC